AAAGCGUGCGCAGGCGGUUUGUAAGACUGUCGUGAAAUCCCCGGGCUCAACCUGGGAAUGGCGAUGGUGACUGCAAGGCUAGAGUUUGGCAGAGGGGGGUAGAAUUCCACGUGUAGACAGUGAAAUGCGUAGAUAUGUGGAGGAACACCGAUGGCGAAGGCAGCCCCCUGGGUCAAAACUGACGCUCAUGCACGAAAGCGUGGGGAGCAAACAGGAUUAGAUACCCCAGU
RNAcentral lists this ribosomal RNA (230 nucleotides) under uncultured bacterium. RNAcentral's name for it is "partial 16S ribosomal RNA". It matches the Rfam family "Bacterial small subunit ribosomal RNA", at positions 562 to 791 of the family's 1533-position model. The record is from RNAcentral.